AUAAACAGCAGCUUCUUUGCAACCUAAAUAGCGGCUUUAAUGUUUUAUUCCCUGCUUUUGCAACUCCAAUAUUGUAUUUCAUACGUUAUUCACUAUGCUUAUUGACUGUUUUUUCUUUCUUUUCCCUUCCUUCCUUCCACUUGCUAUUUCCCUAUUGCAUCUUUGUUUGUUUCUGCAGCUACCGGUAUGUCGAAAGUCCAUAUUUUCUAUGUUAGGU
Molecule: long non-coding RNA, 217 nt
Filed under: Ananas comosus (pineapple)
Lineage: Eukaryota; Viridiplantae; Streptophyta; Magnoliopsida; Poales; Bromeliaceae
Description: long non-coding RNA (ACOM_LNC008913)
Source: RNAcentral